Molecule: ribosomal RNA, 329 nt
Filed under: uncultured fungus
Lineage: Eukaryota; Fungi
Description: eukaryotic LSU rRNA
Source: RNAcentral
GUGAUCAUCGAGUCUUUGAACGCACCUUGCGCCCCGUGGUUUACCACAGGGGCACGCCCGUUCGAGUAUCACGUUAACCCCUCGCCCCGACCGGUGUCAAAGCCGGGCGGGUUGCGGAUUUGGACGUUGCCGUCGUUGGCUCGUCUCGACAUGCAUUAGCUGGAGCCGCCUUCCGCGUCGGCCUUGGUGUGAUAUUUCUUUGCGCCAUUAUCGACUCGGUCGCGUCGCUUUGCUUUCGAACCCCGUGUUCGCCACACGGAAAUCAUCAAACUUUGAUCUCGAAUCGGGUGGGUCUACCCGAUGAACUUAAGCAUAUCAAUAAGCGGAGG